GAUGAACGCUGGCGGCGUGCCUAAUACAUGCAAGUCGAGCGGACGGGCGAUGAGCUUGCUUCUUGGAUGUUUGCGGCGGGCGGGUGAAUAACACGUGGAUAAUCCACCUAUAAUACUGGGAUAACUUGGGGAAACCGGAGCUUAUACCGGAGAAUAUUUUGAAACGCAUUGGUUAAAAGUGAAAUACGGUGUUUGUGUCACUUAUAGAGGGUUCUCCGCUUGAUUAGAUAGUUGGUAAGGUAAAGGCUUAUCAAGGGAACGAUGCAUAGCCGACGUGAGAGAGUGAUAGGCCACCCUGGAACUGAGACAGGGUCCAGACUCCUACGGGAGGCAGCAGUAGGCAAUCUUCCGCAAUGGGCGAAAACAUGACGGAACAACGCCGAGUGAGUGAUGAAGGUGUUCGGAUCGUAAAACUCUGUUAUUAGGGAAGAACAUAUGUGUAAGUAACUGUGCACAUCUUGACGGUAACUAAUCAGAAAGCCACGGCUAACUACGUG
This 497-nucleotide ribosomal RNA is filed under the name uncultured bacterium. Its description in RNAcentral is "partial 16S ribosomal RNA". It matches the Rfam family "Bacterial small subunit ribosomal RNA", at positions 28 to 507 of the family's 1533-position model. The record is from RNAcentral.